This 462-nucleotide ribosomal RNA is filed under the name uncultured bacterium. RNAcentral describes it as "partial 16S ribosomal RNA". It matches the Rfam family "Bacterial small subunit ribosomal RNA", at positions 28 to 507 of the family's 1533-position model. The record is from RNAcentral.
GAUAAACGCUGGCGGCGUGCUUAACACAUGCAAGUCGAACGAAGUUUUUCUUUCGGGGUGAACUUAGUGGCGGACGGGUGAGUAACUCGUGCGUAACCUGCCCUCUCCAGGGUGUCAACAGCUUGCAACGGCCUCUAAUACCGCCUAAGCCCUUAGCCCUGCAUGGUGCAUAGGGAAAAGGAGCAAUCCGGUACAGGAUGGACCCGCGUCUGAUUAGCCAGUGGGCAGGGUAACGGCCUUCCAAAGCGACGAUCAGUAACCGAUCUGGGAGGAGGUACGGCCAGAUUGGGAAUGAGGCACAGACCAGAAUGCUACGGGAGGGAGGAGAGGGGAAUAUUGCAGAAUGGAGGAAACUGUGACGAAGCGACGCCGGGUGAGAGAAGAAGUAGUUCGGUAUGUAAAGCUGUAUGAGAAGGAAAGAAAAUGACGGUAACGGAUUAAGAAGCACCGGCUAAAUACGUG